GACGAACGCUGGCGGCGUGCCUAAUACAUGCAAGUCGAGCGGACUGAUUAAGAGCUUGCUCUUAUGACGUUAGCGGCGGACGGGUGAGUAACACGUGGGCAACCUGCCCUGUAGAUCGGGAUAACACCGAGAAAUCGGUGCUAAUACCGGGUAAUAUCUGAGAUCACAUGAUCUUAGGUUAAAAGAUGGCUCCGGCUAUCACUACAGGAUGGGCCCGCGGCGCAUUAGCUAGUUGGUAAGGUAAUGGCCUACCAAGGCGACGAUGCGUAGCCGACCUGAGAGGGUGAUCGGCCACACUGGGACUGAGACACGGCCCAGACUCCGACGGGAGGCAGCAGUAGGGAAUCUUCCGCAAUGGACGAAAGUCUGACGGAGCAACGCCGCGUGAGUGAUGAAGGGUUUCGGCUCGUAAAGCUCUGUUGUUAGGGAAGAAACAGUACCGAACGAACUAGGUCGGUACCUUGACGGUACCUAACCAGAAAGCCACGGCUAACUACGUG
RNAcentral lists this ribosomal RNA (500 nucleotides) under uncultured bacterium. Its description in RNAcentral is "partial 16S ribosomal RNA". It matches the Rfam family "Bacterial small subunit ribosomal RNA", at positions 28 to 507 of the family's 1533-position model. The record is from RNAcentral.